GCCGAAAGCAGCUGCCCAACUGACUGAGCCACCCAGGUACCCAAGGACCCCUGAAUUUAACAGGAUCUCCAGACACAGGUAGAGAAAAAACAGCAUUGGCUGAAGAUGAAGGAGCAGCACUGAAAGUCACACUCGGACUCAGGUUUAGGCUGCCUUGAAUAUGCUGGCCCUGUGGCACCCACCGACCUGUGGAGAGAAAAGCAUCCCGUCCUACGGACCACCACCCACCCAGAGAGAGUGCAGAUGGGCUCUGUUGAGCCCUUUGUGAUACCUGCUCUUGGAACCAAGCCACCACGCUGUGAGGAAGUCCAAGCUACCCUGUGGAGAGGUGGGUGUGGAGAGAAGCAGCAUACAGUGACUCGACCAGGUAAGUGAGUCAUCUGGGAAGUGGCUCUUCCAGCCCCAACUGACGCCACUUGGGGCAGAGGUGAGCUGUCCCUGCUGAGCUACAUGAUUGCUGCCGGCUUAAGUCACUAAUUUUUGGAGUGGUUUGUUUGAAGAGAUAGAUAAUGGAGGCAUCCCCUGUCCCCCCACCAAACUGGGAGCCACAGGCUUAGGAGGCGGGAAACGGGCCCCUCUUUGUCCCUGGAGCUGGGACCUAGGUCAGCAUUGUUCCUUCAACAAGUAUUUGUUGCUUGACCACCAAGUGCUAUGCACUGUUCCAAGGGCCGAGGAGUUACUGAAUGAGACCCCAAGAAAGGGUGGUGGGGAGAACCGUCUUCCUGUGGGAGGUUAUUUCUAAGCUGAGACCCACCUAAGGAAGAGUUAGCCAUGCACAGAAGCAGAGAAAGGCCAGAUGCAACACCGUGUGCUAGUUCUGGAUGAGGUUAACAGAUUUGGCAAAUAAAAAAUAAAAAUUUGACACCCAAUUAAACUUGAAUUUUAGAUGAGUAAUGAAUACUUUUUUUGUGUGUAUACAUAUGCCCCAUACAGCUUGAGACAU
Long non-coding RNA from Neogale vison (American mink), 943 nucleotides. RefSeq lists it as uncharacterized. The transcript has 4 exons. The record is from RefSeq and is a predicted model, not a curated record. Lineage: Eukaryota; Metazoa; Chordata; Mammalia; Carnivora; Mustelidae.